RNAcentral lists this ribosomal RNA (509 nucleotides) under Xylosciara inornata. RNAcentral's name for it is "partial 16S ribosomal RNA". The record is from RNAcentral. Lineage: Eukaryota; Metazoa; Arthropoda; Insecta; Diptera; Sciaridae.
GUUUUUUAGUGUUUUAUUUAAAGUUUAACCUGCCCCUUGAUAAUUAUUAAAAGGCUGCAGUAUUUUGACUGUACAAAGGUAGCAUAAUCAUUAGUUUUUUAAUUGAAAACUUGUAUGAAUGGUUGAAUGAAAAAUUAACUUUUUUUUUUAAAUUAUUGAAAUUUACUUUUUAAUUAAAAGGUUAAAAUAAUUUUAAAAGACGAGAAGACCCUAUAGAGUUUUAUAAUAUAAUUUAUAAUAAAAAAAAAGUUAAUUUAUAAUUUAAUAAUUUAUAUUAUUUUAUUGGGGUGAUAAUAAAAUUUAAUUAACUUUUAUUAAUUUUAUUGUCAUUGAUAUAUGAAUUAUUGAUCUAUUAUUAUUGAUUAAAAAUUUAAAUUACCUUAGGGAUAACAGCGUAAUUUUUUUUUAAGUUCAUAUUAAUAAAAAAUUUUGCGACCUCGAUGUUGGAUUAAAAUUUAAUUUUAGGGGCAAAAGUUUAAAAUUUAAGUCUGUUCGACUUUUAAAUUCUU